GCAAGUCGAGCGCGGGAAGCAAGCUGAUCCUCUUCGGAGGUGACGCUUGUGGAACGAGCGGCGGACGGGUGAGUAACACGUGGGCAACCUGCCUGUAAGACUGGGAUAACCCCGGGAAACCGGGGCUAAUACCGGAUAAUACUUUUCAUCACCUGAUGGGAAGUUGAAAGGUGGCUUUUAGCUACCACUUACAGAUGGGCCCGCGGCGCAUUAGCUAGUUGGUGAGGUAACGGCUCACCAAGGCAACGAUGCGUAGCCGACCUGAGAGGGUGAUCGGCCACACUGGGACUGAGACACGGCCCAGACUCCUACGGGAGGCAGCAGUAGGGAAUCUUCCGCAAUGGACGAAAGUCUGACGGAGCAACGCCGCGUGAGUGAUGAAGGUUUUCGGAUCGUAAAGCUCUGUUGUUAGGGAAGAACAAGUGCCGUUCGAAUAGGGCGGCACCUUGACGGUACCUAACCAGAAAGCCCCGGCUAACUACGUGCCAGCAGCCGCGGUAAUACGUAGGGGGCAAGCGUUGUCCGGAAUUAUUGGGCGUAAAGCGCGCGCAGGCGGUCCUUUAAGUCUGAUGUGAAAGCCCACGGCUCAACCGUGGAGGGUCAUUGGAAACUGGAGGACUUGAGUACAGAAGAGGAGAGUGGAAUUCCACGUGUAGCGGUGAAAUGCGUAGAGAUGUGGAGGAACACCAGUGGCGAAGGCGACUCUCUGGUCUGUAACUGACGCUGAGGCGCGAAAGCGUGGGGAGCGAACAGGAUUAGAUACCCUGGUAGUCCACGCCGUAAACGAUGAGUGCUAGGUGUUAGGGGGUUUCCGCCCCUUAGUGCUGAAGUUAACGCAUUAAGCACUCCGCCUGGGGAGUACGGCCGCAAGGCUGAAACUCAAAAGAAUUGACGGGGGGCCCGCACAAGCGGUGGAGCAUGUGGUCUAAUUCGACGCAACGCGAAGAACCUUACCAGGUCUUGACAUCCUCUGCAAUCGGUAGAGAUACCGAGUUCCCUUCGGGGACAGAGUGACAGGUGGUGCAUGGUUGUCGUCAGCUCGUGUCGUGAGAUGUUGGGUUAAGUCCCGCAACGAGCGCAACCCUUGAUCUUAGUUGCCAGCAUUUAGUUGGGCACUCUAAGGUGACUGCCGGUGACAAACCGGAGGAAGGUGGGGAUGACGUCAAAUCAUCAUGCCCCUUAUGACCUGGGCUACACACGUGCUACAAUGGAUGGAACAAAGGGAAGCAAACCCGCGAGGUCAAGCAAAUCCCAUAAAACCAUUCUCAGUUCGGAUUGCAGGCUGCAACUCGCCUGCAUGAAGCCGGAAUCGCUAGUAAUCGCGGAUCAGCAUGCCGCGGUGAAUACGUUCCCGGGC
RNAcentral lists this ribosomal RNA (1357 nucleotides) under Virgibacillus halodenitrificans. RNAcentral describes it as "bacterial SSU rRNA". It matches the Rfam family "Bacterial small subunit ribosomal RNA", at positions 57 to 1379 of the family's 1533-position model. Lineage: Bacteria; Bacillati; Bacillota; Bacilli; Caryophanales; Bacillaceae. The record is from RNAcentral.